RNAcentral lists this ribosomal RNA (396 nucleotides) under uncultured bacterium. Its description in RNAcentral is "bacterial SSU rRNA". It matches the Rfam family "Bacterial small subunit ribosomal RNA", at positions 975 to 1375 of the family's 1533-position model. The record is from RNAcentral.
CCACCUUUGACAUGGCAGGAAGGCUCCAGAGAUGGGGCUGUGCUCGAAAGAGAACCUGCACACAGGUGCUGCAUGGCUGUCGUCAGCUCGUGUCGUGAGAUGUUGGGUUAAGUCCCGCAACGAGCGCAACCCUUGCCAUUAGUUGCUACGAAAGGGCACUCUAAUGGGACUGCCGGUGUCAAGCCGGAGGAAGGUGGGGAUGACGUCAAGUCCUCAUGGCCCUUAUAGGUGGGGCUACACACGUCAUACAAUGGCCGGUACAAAGGGUAGCCAACCCGCGAGGGGGAGCCAAUCCCAUAAAGCCGGUCGUAGUCCGGAUCGCAGUCUGCAACUCGACUGCGUGAAGUCGGAAUCGCUAGUAAUCGUGGAUCAGCAUGUCACGGUGAAUACGUUCCC